CCCGCACAAAUUGGGUCCUGUGCUCUGAUUAGUUGUAGUGGUGCUGUGCUGUGUUAUUUUAUAUGUAUGCGAGUGGGAAAAAAUAUAAAAAUACGGAGAAAACGCGGAGAGAGAGGAGAAGGAGAAAGAGAAGGAGACAGGCAAGCUCCAAUAUAGUUUUUGUGUCUGUGUCUCCCUCUCUUCUGUUCUGAAGAAGAGAGUAGGAGAGAAUGGAGUACGAGACAACCAAUAGUUGGAUAUGGGAUGGAGUGUAUCACUACCCACAUGUAUUUGGUGGUCUAAUGUUAACAGCUGCCUUGCUGGGUUUGUCCACUAGUUAUUUUGGUGGAAUUGGGUUUUCUUCAUUCCCCUAUAUCUGUUGGGAUCUUGGUACUUUGUAUAAGAAGAGAUAUGAGAAGAAGAAGAAGCGCAUUCGUGUUUACAUGGAUGGUUGCUUUGAUCUUAUGCAUUAUGGACAUGCCAAUGCUUUAAGACAGGCUAAAGCUUUGGGUGAUGAAUUAGUGGUAGGUGUUGUCAGUGAUGAAGAGAUAAUUGCCAAUAAGGGUCCCCCUGUUUUGCCCAUGGAGGAGAGACUGGCUCUUGUCAGUGGAUUGAAGUGGGUGGAUGAAGUCAUAGCCAAUUCUCCUUAUGCCAUUACAGAGCAAUUCAUGAACACUCUCUUCAAUGAGCAUAAAAUUGACUAUAUCAUACAUGGCGAUGAUCCUUGCCUGCUUCCUGAUGGAACUGACGCUUAUGCAUUGGCCAAGAGGGCUGGACGCUAUAAGCAGAUUAAACGCACUGAAGGGGUCUCCAGCACUGAUAUUGUAGGAAGGAUACUUUCUGUGGAUGAUCCAAAAGUUUGUGAAGCUCAUGAUGAUAAGUUGCCUUUACCUAGAGAUGCCUGUAAAGCAAAUCAAUCCAGUGGUGCCUAUAUAUCUCAAUUUCUACCAACAUCACGUCGAAUUGUUCAAUUUUCAAAUGGCAAGGGACCUGGACCAAAUGCUCGUGUUGUGUACAUUGAUGGGGCAUUUGACCUCUUCCAUGCUGGACAUGUGGAGAUUCUCAGAUGUGCUAGGCAGCUUGGUGAUUUUCUGCUCGUUGGGAUUCACACUGACCAAAUUGUGAGUGAACACAGAGGGAAGAACUACCCAAUUAUGCAUCUACAUGAGCGUAGUUUAAGUGUGCUGGCUUGCCGUUAUGUGGAUGAAGUCAUCAUUGGUGCCCCUUGGGAAGUUUCUAAAGACAUGAUUACAACUUUCAACAUCUCUUUGGUUGUUCAUGGGACAAUUGCAGAGUGCAACUCCUUGUUGGCCGGCAUUCCCGAUCCUUAUGCAGUUCCAAAGAGCAUGGGAAUUUUCCAGAUCCUUGAAAGCCCCAAAAAUAUAACUACCACUUCAGUAGCGCAAAGGAUUGUUGCCAAUCAUGAGGCUUACAUGUUAUUCUAUUUUAUGCCUUGUUGUUUCUUUUGUAGGUUUGUCAAACUCAGAUGAGAUUAACCCAAUUGCCACAAAACUAUAAUUUAACGAUCAAAUUGUGACAGAUUAAGAAACGCAAUGCGAAGAAGGCAGAAAGUGAGAAAAAAUAUUAUGCAGAAAAGGUGUACGUAUCAGGAGAUUAGUGGAGAUGUAUGUUCAUCGAACAGCUGGUUUGAUACAGUUCUUAAUGCCCAAUAGAAAUGCUUGUUUGCUCAAGGUACAAAUCAGUCACAUAAAUAGAGUGAUGAAAGAGAUUAGAUUGAAGCAAAGAUAACAUCAUAAUUUUAUAUUCUCAUUUCGUGUAAUGUUAUUCCAGUGUAGGCAAACACUCAUGAUGUCACCAUUUUAAAAGGAUGAAUUUUUCUGGGCGUUUAAUUUUCACUGCGCCGUUGAAUUUCCUAGUUUAGAUUUAUUUUUUCUUUUGGAAGUACUGUUUUUGAGUAUUAUCCAAUACAGGCUAGUUAUCAUUGGUUUGAAACAUUGUUGUAUAAGAAUAAUUUUGCUUUAGUUCAAUUGGCCAAUUGGCACUAACAAAAUACUGCAGAACUGGA
Molecule: RNA transcript, 2005 nt
Organism: Jatropha curcas
Lineage: Eukaryota; Viridiplantae; Streptophyta; Magnoliopsida; Malpighiales; Euphorbiaceae
Gene name: ethanolamine-phosphate cytidylyltransferase
Source: RefSeq, a predicted model, not a curated record